RNAcentral lists this long non-coding RNA (6618 nucleotides) under Chlamydomonas reinhardtii. RNAcentral's name for it is "long non-coding RNA (CREI_LNC000989)". The record is from RNAcentral. Lineage: Eukaryota; Viridiplantae; Chlorophyta; Chlorophyceae; Chlamydomonadales; Chlamydomonadaceae.
GCCGAGCAGGCGCCGACUGAGCCGGCCACUCCCAAGCCGGAGGCCCCCUCCACCUCUGGCGAAAAGAUUGAGGUGAAGAAGGUCGACGCCAGCGCUCCGCUGCUGCAAAAGGGCCAGGGCACGGCCAUCGUCACCGGCGCUAUUUCCGCCAUCCUGGGCCUCGCCUACCUCGCGCUGGUUGCUUUCAUGGACCAGCGCGGGGGGCAGAUGCUACCUCCUCCUCCUGAGGCCCUGAUCCCCUAAGUGGCAGGCGCUGAACAGUAGUGCCAUAGCCCAGGCCUGGGGGUUUGGGUGGGUCAGCGUCACAUGCGGUUGAGUGGUGCCUACGCAGCCAACAGUGCUCGCGUGGACGAACGGCGUCAACUGAAGCAGGGUUUAGCGGCGACACCGGCACUCCUCAUCAGGGUCAGGCCAUGAUACAAUACUGUCUGUCGGGGAAGCUGUCCACUUACUGGGUGGGAUGCACGGGCGUGUGGCCGGUUGCGAUGCCCGCGGAUGGCUGCGGAGGGUAAGCUUGUGGCCCACAUCGCUUGCGCUGAAGGCCCCUGAGCCCGGCUUUGACGAGCGCUUAGGCAUGUAGGUAGUUGUAGGUAUGCUUGGUGAGGCGGCUGCGGAUUAUGAUGCGAUGGAUUGGGGGCCCGGCGCAUCCACACGGUUGCUGUUGACGGAUGCGGUCACAACGUGGUUGCCGUCCUGACUAGCACAUGGUUGGAGCAGGUCCUGUUGAGGGUGAGGGCGAGGGGAAUGCAGGCAUGAAUACAGACCGCAAUGAGCACAGUCUGACGCACACAGACCAGCCUUCCGGAGGGAGCUUGGGUUAGCUUGUUUACACGUGGACCGAAGCGGCAGUUUUGCAGUUUUGCAGUUCGUAUGAUGUGCGGGGUGAUGCAACACGGUUUGUGCCGAUUUUUGCGCAGGCACAUGCAUGUGGUUUGUACACAGACAAGUAGUGCAGUGGCGCGCUUGUGUACACGUGUAUCGCUUGCAGACAAAGGUACUGUUGAUGAGUGUUCAAGGUUAGCCAGCCUGACCUGCACGGAACGACGGCGGUUGGAUGGUCAUUUAUCUCGGACUUGGGAACCGUGUAUCGGUCCCCGCAGCGGCACGGGUACGUGUAAACAUCAGUGCCGUCUGCAGAGAGUGUACGGGGUACAAGGAGGGUACAAUAAGAUGGGAAAGCAGGCGUUUUGCAGGGUGUGCUAUAGAGGCAGGCAUUGUUUAGGCGCAGCGGUGCCGUCGCAUCUAACAAAGUGCAGUGUGGGGGCGCACGGGCUAUUCGCGCAAUGCGCAGGCUAAUGCCCGCGAUCCAUAUCUAGAGGGCAGACAGCACGAAGAGAAUCCCUGAACAAGCAAACGCAAUCAGGCGAGCGAAGCCAAACCAUCGUGUCAACGCAGCUGCCUGCCGUUGCUGUGUGCCAAGCUAUCGUUGGCAAAAAGAUGUGCUGCAGUACGGGUCCAGACAACAAGACGUGCUGAAGUGUCCAAUCGUGGAUGCCAUGCUCUGCCUGACUGACAAAUGCAUGACAACAUGAGCCAAAUAGGAGGUCCCAAGCCUCCAAGCCCAGCGCCAAAGGCACCCAGGCCUAUGCCUCCCACGCCCCCCUUCACAGGUGUCCCCAAGCAACACGCCCACGCCGGCAGCCACGCGAGCCCCGAGCCUGUCUGCCCUGCAGUAUGGCCAAACCGUGCGGGACUGGGACCCCGCCCCGCCAGCCUACCUGCGUCCACCUCCUCAUCCAGCUCCCCCAGAUCCAGCUCGUCCUGGUACGACAGCGGCGCCUGCAACUCCUGAAGACUGAGCUCACUGUCGUACGCUGCGCGGCGGCCCGCGUCACGCAGCACCUGUGCAAUUGUAGUCACCGCACGGGCGCGAAGGUCAGAGUUGAGAGGUCCAAGCGCAUAUCGGCCAUGGCUACCAUGAACCGUAGGGUGGCCUGUUAAACCGCUAUCGUGCAUAGUACUUGCGUGUGGCCAGGAUUGGGGCCGCGCGUUUGUAGUGCGCGUGGCCGUGGACACUCGGCGGGGUCCUGACGGGCACGGGUCCCGCAUACCCCAUUGCCACCCCGUGCCCGCGCCCACCUCCCAUGCCUUCUGUACAAGCUCGAACACUUUUGAUGUGCUCGCUACAAGGUCGCCAUCAAGCUCGGCGGCGCCGCACGGCUCAUCGCCUUCGGCAGGCUGCUCCUGGGCCCUAGCUGUGUUACUCACAGCAGUAGCUUUGUCUGGGUGAUACUUCAAGACCGCUGCAUAGUAAGCUUGUUUGAUGUGUGCCAGCGGCGCGUCUCGUGCAACGCCCAAAUUUUCAUAAUGGGUGCGCUGAAGCGAAGCCAUUUCUGCUUUAAUAGGACUGUAAUGUCAUUUACAUGACACUGGAAGCUUGCAGCGACAGGUGAGCAGGCGCGCAAUCUCAGCCCGUGUUUUAACCCACGCGUACACACCAUACAUCCAAUAAAAUUAUUCCAAAGAACUGGGGCUUGCGGCCACGUUUCAAGACAGCUUCGAGUCUAGGAAUUGCCACCACUUGCUUUACAGCAGCAGUUUCGAGCUGAAGUUUCGACAAACUGUCUUAUGAUAUUGCGUUUGCGUUUGGUCUAGAGCAUCGAACAACUUAAACUUCCACCCACCGGGUUGCUAGUAAUAGCGAAGGCAGUCUUGAAGACUGCGUCCGCUCGCUAUUGGAAGCACGGCCACCAGCCGGGCUUGGCCCAAUCGGACAAUUAACAUCAUGGACCUCGAGCAAGGGCAAUGGCAGCGGCCACGGCGCGCCAGGACGUCGUCAACUGGGGCUAACGGGGCUAACGGCGCAACACACGCUGGUCACGCGGCGCUCCUAUCGGUGCCCCCCAUGCUCGGUCGCCUAAUAUUGGGUGGGUUCGUCGCUUUAGAGGACAGCGACACGCUGGAAAAGUUGCAUGGCGAUGACACCAACCGCAGCUGACGAAAAACGCGUGGUGCUCACAAUAAGUUGCCUUUCUGGUGACGCCUUCGUGGGUCGUAAUAUCGUGGGUCUGCGCUGCCUAGCUGUCGAGUUCAGAGUCAGAAAGGGCAAGCGCGUAACCCGGCGUGUGCAUGACCACGUCGCGUCACCCUAACCCCACACCUUGAGCCUACCCCACUCGGUUUCUCGUUGCGAACAGGGACGUGCAUCGCCUUCCUCAUCUUGGGCGUACUUCCAGCCAGCUUUGUGGUGGGUGGUGCACGGACGUGACGUGCGGCAGGCGUGCAGUGUUAGCAGAGCUUUAGGUUGCUGCCUGGCGGCCAACGAUACCGGUACCUGCGUGCGCUCUGUCCACAUCUGUCAAUGACCGGUGUGCCCUUGCCCUUGUUUCCCUAUCAAUGGUGCUUGUGACGCGACUGCAACCCACUACCUGCCGCAGUUUUGGCUGUGCCUGAUGCUGCUGGCCUUCACCUGCCUGCGCAUACGGCUCCAGGCCCAACAACUUCAGCAGGCGUUGGAGCAGGUGCGGUUGCGACGCGUGCCCUGCUGCAAUCUGCGCGCACUGAAUAUCACCGCAUUAUCAUCAGUGUGUGGUCAUACCAGCGAAGCUUAAGACACCCUUCCACCCGGCACCGCGUCUCACACGCGCAGACGCAGGAGGAGCAGGCUGUGGAGCGGCUGGCAGGGCCGCUGGCGGCCGGGGGGCGGCUGCAGCUGGGCGGCGGCGGCGGCAGCGCCUUCGUGCGCCUCAUCCCGGGUGGCGGCGGACUGCUGCUGCUGCACACCGACCCGCGGGCCGCCCUCGAGCGCAUCAAUGCGCAGCUGCAGGCACUGGACGAGGAGGUGGGCGCGGCGGGCGUGGCAGGUGAGAGAAUGCGGGCUGGCGCACGGUUACAUUGCGGUUUCAAACCCCAAGUAUAUUGGAACACAGAGGCUGCUGAUGGCACUUUGUUUGGAGGCACGCGGAGACAGUAUUGACAACGACUAGGGGAAAGGGGAUGCCGGGUAGCGGUGUGGCUGGCGCCAGGCUGGGACCGGGAAGGGCGGUCACCUCGCCGCCUCUAACCUUUCCAUAUGCCUUGCCUCACCCUUCCACAUGCCUCGAUCACGCCUCGCUCGCAGCGGACUACGACGCCUUGCUGCGCCUUGGCCGCACCGGGCCGUUGCACCCCGCCGCCAUCCUGCACGGCGCCGGCCUGGCCCGGGUCGCGGCCGCUGUGGCGGCGCCGCCGCCCCUGUCGGAUGAAGACAUCGCCGCUCUGCCCAGCUACCCCUACAAGGCCCCGCGGGCCAGCAGCAGCAGCAGCGGCCCUGAUGCCGCGUCGCCACACCGCCAGAAAGACCCGCAGCCGCACGCAGCCCCGGCGGACUUGUUGCCAGAGCAGCCCUCCAGCGGCGCUCUCGUGAGCCUUGCUUCCGGCGAGGCGCCGGCGGCGCUGUCCUCCGGGGCGAGCCUGCGACGCAGCGGCUCCGGGCUCUCACCUCGGCAUGUUGCGGCGCAGCAAGCGCGACUUCCGGCAGAGUCAGCGGGGCUGAGCGUAACGGCAGGCGGCGGCUCCACGGCGGCAGCCCAUACAACAGCAUCGGGCUGCGGCGGCCACGAGGGUCUGACGUGCUCAGUGUGUCUGGACCAGGUGGGGGACGGACAGAUGGUGACGACGCUGCCGUGCCUACACCAGUUCCACAGCGCCUGCAUCAACCCCUGGCUGCGGCACAAGGGGCUGCACGCGAGCUGCCCGCUGUGCAAGACGCCCGUGUUCCGGUGAAGGGCGGUGAAGGAGUGCAUGGGUAGCCAGCAGAGCAGGAAGGAGGAUUGCUGUUUAUUUAGGGCAGGCUGUGCAUGUGCGCUGUCAGGCAUUGGCAUGCGUGUUGCGCUGCAUUUCGGUGUUGCAUGGUAAUGCAAAACACUGGAAGGGCGAUACAGUUCUUUAGGAUAUGGCGCUUUUAUUCGUUCCGGCCGUUCCGGCGGGUCCGCUUUCUGCGGACCAGGCAGGUUUAGCACAUGUUAGCUCAUGGCUGCAGGCGCGUCUGAGACUUUCGCACGUAUGAACACCUCCUGUGAAAUGUGGACUGAGGUUGGCAGGGUGGCCAGACCGCAUCGUCCAACGGAACAUGUGUCCUUGCGGGUGCAGGAAGCUAGCUAGCACGCACCAUAAUGGGAGGCGCACGGGCUGCUGUGUUUAUUUAUUGCGGGGGGUGCAAUGGACUGUAGCAGCAGCUGGCAUGUACACUGGCAAACGCAUCACACGGCGCCCCGUGCUUUGGUGCCGCAAUUGGCGCACCAGGCCGUGAUCGUGCGACGUUGGGGCGCUCUUCCUCGCCGACCGCGUCUGACAAUUAUGUUCGUGUUUAAGCGUACGUGGCGAGGCGCAGGUUAGGCAUGCCACACCACUGAAUGUUACUACCGUAUUGUUAUGUUGGUGGGUCUGCGCAUUGUUGUUGGUCGUCUUAAGUAAAGAUCAAGCUGCUGGUCCUAACUUAAGUCUGGGGUGCUAUGAGUUUUCCCCAUGUGGUCCUUAUGUACUGCAGCACUGUCACCUACUCUUUCGCAUUUAACGAGUGUGUUACCUGGCUGGGUAGGGGCAACUGAGUCUGCUACCGUGGGCGCGCGGCACGGCUUGCCGUGCGCGUGUGUUACCUAGGCGGGAUUGUGGGUGCUGGCAGGUGCUGGCGCGAUAGUGCUGAGUCAAGUGCUGUAGUAGGACAAUCGGCAAAAGGCACACUUGGAUGCCCCAGGGCGUGCUCCACAGGGUUCAGUACCGAAUGUGCGUAGAACUACUGCGUUCCGCCCCACACGUGCUGACUCGGGCGGCAACAGAUGAAAUGAGUGCACUCUUAAUGAGUUACCUACUUGUGGAUGGGCUGGUGGUGGUAUCAGACGCGCAAUGAAGAAUCGCCGAGCUGUAUGGACUCGUCGCCUUUGAGUAAUAGCAUGAAGCAAGGUCCAUCAAAGCGGAACCAGUGGGAAGGGAUGAGCCAUCAGAAGGGUGGAGCAGGCAGCCCGUCAGUCGUCAGAGGACCAAGCGUUGCCGCGUAUCAAGCGGUAAGGGUGGCCAAAGCGCAAGGCAGCGCAAGACGCCGCCGCCGCCGCAGCUGCCGAAGCCGCGAACAAGCGCGCCUGCAAUGUCGACUGCCAGCGCCACUACCAACCAGCAGUCGGAGAAGGGCAAAACGACCAAGCGCAAGUACAAGCAGCCGGAGGAGGGCAAGACGACCAAGCGCAAUCACGAGCAGUCGGAGGAGGGCAAGACGACCCGGCGCUAACCGCCUACGCCUCAGCCGCACCGACCUCGCUCUCGCGCGCGGCCACGACGGCGGCCCGCGCCCCCUGGCCUAUGCCAGCAUCCUUACCGUCGCCGCCGUAGGCCGCCGUCCUCACGGCCACCAAGCAACCCCUUUUACCUGUGUUUUGGCAACAUCCACACCACGGCUACGCUGGCAGCGCGCUGGCCCACCCCCAUUUCGGCGAUCCCUACGGGGUCGGCAACCCGUACCGGUGCAAGAAGACGGGCAUGUGGCAGCGCUACUACUUUACGCUAGAGUGGUUCAACCAGCUCAUCCGCGUGACCGUUGCGGGCACCGGCCCCACCACCAUGGACGAGUGGAUCCAGCUGGUCAAUGAUGGUGCAUGGGAUGUCGCGCUGCGCCUCCACACCCUCACCAUCGCACCCUCAGCGCUC